Molecule: ribosomal RNA, 160 nt
Filed under: Ixodes hexagonus (hedgehog tick)
Lineage: Eukaryota; Metazoa; Arthropoda; Arachnida; Ixodida; Ixodidae
Description: partial 16S ribosomal RNA
Source: RNAcentral
CCCUGAUGCACAAGGUACUCCUAAAUACUUCUUUAAUUUUAAAUUUUUCAAAAUUUUCACUUUUCCCCUACAGUUCACCCAAAUAUAAAUCUAUUAUCAAUACACUUCUCAUAAACCUUUUAUAAUUCCUUAUUUUAAAAUAAACACUUUAAAAUUUUAU